ACUGAACCUAGAACAUAGGUACAGAGCCACUUGUUAUCAGGAAGGUGCUCUCUCAGCACAACGGAAAAUAUCUCAAUGACUUGACAUGUUCUGGUUGUGAAUUCAGGCUGCAAGGGGUAACUGCCUCUAAAAUGAGUCUCUCUGGGGAGAGAGAGGAGGGUGGCCCUGCCACUAAAAUGAGUAUCUCUGGGGAACAAGACACCAAAUCUAAGAGCCCAAUCAAUCAGGAGAGACCAGCCUCCCCUGUACCCAGCUGUGUGUCCAUGAAGAGUGACCGGUCUAUGGAACCUCCUAUGAAGUUUAGAGAGGGAGACUUUUCUACUGAACAAACAAACCAACAGGCGAGAUCAGAGUCAGAGAUUCUCAGUGGUCAGUCUUCCAAGAGUCAUCAAACAGACCUGGCCUCCAUAUUCAGUGUAUGUGGUCCUGUUAUGUACAUUUGUUUUUGUUUACCUCAAGAAAAGUUGAUCUGCCAAUCAUUCAUUAAUGUGUUAAUGAGAAAGCAUUUAUUCUCUUGCUUAACUCAUUUACUUGAUUUAUUUCAGUUGCUUGAAGAGAAAAUUAUGACAUUUGUGAAGAACGAGCUGAAGAUGUUCAAGAGGAUUCUUAGUCCAGAACU
This is a long non-coding RNA of Oncorhynchus kisutch (coho salmon), 619 nucleotides long. RefSeq lists it as uncharacterized. The transcript is spliced from 4 exons. Lineage: Eukaryota; Metazoa; Chordata; Actinopteri; Salmoniformes; Salmonidae. The record is from RefSeq and is a predicted model, not a curated record.